UGAUAUAUCCCACAUUUUGCUAUUAAGUACACUUUCCCAUUCAUCAACAUAAGGUUUAGUGCGCAAGAGGCCCCCCAGUGUUUUAACAGCCAGUGGCAGUCCCCGCACCUUUGAACUAUUUUCUGGCCGAUCUCCUGCAGGUCUGGCAGAUCACUGAAAUUGGACCUUCCCAGUGCAUGCUUUGCAAACAAAGACAGGCUAUCCUCAAAUGACAGUUCUUUCAAAAGGUAACAUGGAAAAGCACUCAUCAUUAAUGCAACAUCUUGAUUUCGAGUUGUGAGGAUGAUUCUACUCCCAGGGGAUGUCACUUGGAAAGGACGGCGAAGGACAGUCCAGUCAUCAUAGUUCUCAUUCCAAACAUCAUCUAAACAACAAGAAAACUUCUUCCCGCCAAUUUCUCUCUCAGCCUAAGUUGAAGCAGAUUCAAAUCCUUCGCAUCGUAACUCCCCGAAACUGCCUCAAGAAAUAGUUCUCGUAACCCUAACAACAUCAAAAUCCUCAGAAACACAACACCAACUUUGAAAUCGAAAAACUUAUCUACUUUCUCAUCAUUGUGACAAGCUGAGCAAGAGUGGUCUUACCCACCCCACCCAUCCCUACAAUAGGAAUCACACCAUUCCCGUACUCAUCACACCCUUAUCACUAAAAAGCAACUUCAAGAUUUCCUCUGUAUCAUUAUCCCUACCAGAAACAUAAGAAAGAUCCACUAAAGAAGUACUGGGCAAUCUUUUCCUCUUCAACACCCCUCCACUGCCAUUCUCUCUAAGCUCCAGAUUAUUCUUCUCUUGAGCAGUUUCUUGCAAUCUAGCAGUAAUUCUCUUAAAUCUUGGAGUCUAUUUUGUAGUUAGAGCAAAUUACCAGGAUAAAAAGAGGUUAAGAACCGGGUAUGGCGCUCUUCGCCUUACUUGAGUUAGCUCGUUCUUCCUCUUUAAGUCAGUGAGAACCCCGUCGAGCAAAUCUUCAAUAUCAUAGGCCAAUUCACGGAUCUGAUCAAGCCAGAGUUUGACAGCAUGGCUUUCAUCUGCUUCUCCUCUGCGUCAGCAAGAACAGCAUGGUCAUAUGCAAAUUUGCCUCCAGUUUCUUGAUAUCAGAGUGGAUUUUUCCUCUGGCGAGCGAGCUUGAAAGAGGCUAAUUGGUUGAUUAUAUGCCUGAUCGUAGCUGAAAGGAUGCGUCUCCGAUAACAAGAGCCAUAAUUAAAUUGCUGCCUCUGGGUCGCUUGCAAAUGGCUAUCGCUUAGAAAUUAAAGCAGAUCGAAGGAAAGAAAGAACCAAAGAAUGGGGUUUGUAUGUAAACUGAAGAGUAAGAGUGGUUUGUAUUCUGGCGAGCUACAAGGGUUUGUGUGUUAACUGGAAAGUAAAGGUGGUCGUUUUGGUGAGAAUCGGAAGAGCGGUUCAGCAGGAAUGCCGAGACCGAUCUCGUAUGCCGUCUUCUGCUUGCUGAGUCGGAGACACGCAGGGAUGAGAUGGCGGCCGCACUGACCCUAUAGUGAGUCGUAUUAAUUUCAAAUCAUACCAACAUGGUCAAAUAAAACGAAAGGCUCAGUCGAAAGACUGGGCCUUUCGUUUUAAUCUGAUCGGCACGUAAGAGGUUCCAACUUUCACCAUAAUGAAAUAAGAUCACUACCGGGCGUAUUUUUUGAGUUAUCGAGAUUUUCAGGAGCUAAGGAAGCUAAAAUGGAGAAAAAAAUCACUGGAUAUACCACCGUUGAUAUAUCCCAAUGGCAUCGUAAAGAACAUUUUGAGGCAUUUCAGUCAGUUGCUCAAUGCACCUAUAACCAGACCGUUCAGCUGGAUAUUACGGCCUUUUUAAAGACCGUAAAGAAAAAUAAGCACAAGUUUUAUCCGGCCUUUAUUCACAUUCUUGCCCGCCUGAUGAAUGCUCAUCCGGAAUUUCGUAUGGCAAUGAAAGACGGUGAGCUGGUGAUAUGGGAUAGUGUUCACCCUUGUUACACCGUUUUCCAUGAGCAAACUGAAACGUUUUCAUCGCUCUGGAGUGAAUACCACGACGAUUUCCGGCAGUUUCUACACAUAUAUUCGCAAGAUGUGGCGUGUUACGGUGAAAACCUGGCCUAUUUCCCUAAAGGGUUUAUUGAGAAUAUGUUUUUCGUCUCAGCCAAUCCCUGGGUGAGUUUCACCAGUUUUGAUUUAAACGUGGCCAAUAUGGACAACUUCUUCGCCCCCGUUUUCACCAUGGGCAAAUAUUAUACGCAAGGCGACAAGGUGCUGAUGCCGCUGGCGAUUCAGGUUCAUCAUGCCGUUUGUGAUGGCUUCCAUGUCGGCAGAAUGCUUAAUGAAUUACAACAAUACUGCGAUGAGUGGCAGGGCGGGGCGUAACCUACGUGACAGAAGUCAAAAGCCUCCGGUCGGAGGCUUUUGACUUUCUGGAUCAUCGGCCGCAUCGAAUAUAACUUCGUAUAAUGUAUGCUAUACGAAGUUAUUAGCGAUGAGCUCGGACUUCCAUUGUUCAUUCCACGGACAAAAACAGAGAAAGGAAACGACAGAGGCCAAAAAGCUCGCUUUUAGCACCUGUCGUUUCCUUUCUUUUCAGAGGGUAUUUUAAAUAAAAACAUUAAGUUAUGACGAAGAAGAACGGAAACGCCUUAAACCGGAAAAUUUUCAUAAAUAGCGAAAACCCGCGAGGUCGCCGCCCCGUAACCUGUCGGAUCACCGGAAAGGACCCGUAAAGUGAUAAUGAUUAUCAUCUACAUAUCACAACGCGCGUGGAGGCCAUCAAACCACGUCAAAUAAUCAAUUAUGACGCAGGUAUCGUAUUAAUUGAUCUGCAUCAACUUAACGUAAAAGCAACUUCAGACAAUACAAAUCAGCGACACUGAAUACGGGGCAACCUCAUGUCCGAGCUCGCGAGCUCGUCGACAGCGACACACUUGCAUCGGAUGCAGCCCGGUUAACGUGCCGGCACGGCCUGGGUAACCAGGUAUUUUGUCCACAUAACCGUGCGCAAAAUGUUGUGGAUAAGCAGGACACAGCAGCAAUCCACAGCAGGCAUACAACCGCACACCGAGGUUACUCCGUUCUACAGGUUACGACGACCAUGUCAAUACUUGCCCUUGACAGGCAUUGAUGGAAUCGUAGUCUCACGCUGAUAGUCUGAUCGACAAUACAAGUGGGACCGUGGUCCCAGACCGAUAAUCAGACCGACAACACGAGUGGGAUCGUGGUCCCAGACUAAUAAUCAGACCGACGAUACGAGUGGGACCGUGGUCCCAGACUAAUAAUCAGACCGACGAUACGAGUGGGACCGUGGUUCCAGACUAAUAAUCAGACCGACGAUACGAGUGGGACCGUGGUCCCAGACUAAUAAUCAGACCGACGAUACGAGUGGGACCAUGGUCCCAGACUAAUAAUCAGACCGACGAUACGAGUGGGACCGUGGUCCCAGUCUGAUUAUCAGACCGACGAUACGAGUGGGACCGUGGUCCCAGACUAAUAAUCAGACCGACGAUACGAGUGGGACCGUGGUCCCAGACUAAUAAUCAGACCGACGAUACGAGUGGGACCGUGGUCCCAGUCUGAUUAUCAGACCGACGAUACAAGUGGAACAGUGGGCCCAGAGAGAAUAUUCAGGCCAGUUAUGCUUUCUGGCCUGUAACAAAGGACAUUAAGUAAAGACAGAUAAACGUAGACUAAAACGUGGUCGCAUCAGGGUGCUGGCUUUUCAAGUUCCUUAAGAAUGGCCUCAAUUUUCUCUAUACACUCAGUUGGAACACGAGACCUGUCCAGGUUAAGCACCAUUUUAUCGCCCUUAUACAAUACUGUCGCUCCAGGAGCAAACUGAUGUCGUGAGCUUAAACUUGUUCUUGAUGCAGAUGACGUUUUAAGCACAGAAGUUAAAAGAGUGAUAACUUCUUCAGCUUCAAAUAUCACCCCAGCUUUUUUCUGCUCAUGAAGGUUAGAUGCCUGCUGCUUAAGUAAUUCCUCUUUAUCUGUAAAGGCUUUUUGAAGUGCAUCACCUGACCGGGCAGAUAGUUCACCGGGGUGAGAAAAAAGAGCAACAACUGAUUUAGGCAAUUUGGCGGUGUUGAUACAGCGGGUAAUAAUCUUACGUGAAAUAUUUUCCGCAUCAGCCAGCGCAGAAAUAUUUCCAGCAAAUUCAUUCUGCAAUCGGCUUGCAUAACGCUGACCACGUUCAUAAGCACUUGUUGGGCGAUAAUCGUUACCCAAUCUGGAUAAUGCAGCCAUCUGCUCAUCAUCCAGCUCGCCAACCAGAACACGAUAAUCACUUUCGGUAAGUGCAGCAGCUUUACGACGGCGACUCCCAUCGGCAAUUUCUAUGACACCAGAUACUCUUCGACCGAACGCCGGUGUCUGUUGACCAGUCAGUAGAAAAGAAGGGAUGAGAUCAUCCAGUGCGUCCUCAGUAAGCAGCUCUUGGUCACGUUCAUUACCUGACCAUACCCGAGAGGUCUUCUCAACACUAUCACCCCGGAGCACUUCAAGAGUAAACUUCACAUCCCGACCACAUACAGGCAAAGUAAUGGCAUUACCGCGAGCCAUUACUCCUACGCGCGCAAUUAACGAAUCCACCAUCGGGGCAGCUGGUGUCGAUAACGAAGUAUCUUCAACCGGUUGAGUAUUGAGCGUAUGUUUUGGAAUAACAGGCGCACGCUUCAUUAUCUAAUCUCCCAGCGUGGUUUAAUCAGACGAUCGAAAAUUUCAUUGCAGACAGGUUCCCAAAUAGAAAGAGCAUUUCUCCAGGCACCAGUUGAAGAGCGUUGAUCAAUGGCCUGUUCAAAAACAGUUCUCAUCCGGAUCUGACCUUUACCAACUUCAUCCGUUUCACGCACAACAUUUUUUAGAACCAUGCUUCCCCAGGCAUCCCGAAUUUGCUCCUCCAUCCACGGGGACUGAGAGCCAUUACUAUUGCUGUAUUUGGUAAGCAAAAUACGAACAUCAGGCUCGAACCCUUUAAGAUCAACGUUCUUGAGCAGAUCACGAAGCAUAUCGAAAAACUGCAGUGCGGAGGUGUAGUCAAACAACUCAGCAGGCGUGGGAACAAUCAGCACAUCAGCAGCACAUACGACAUUAAUCGUGCCGAUACCCAGGUUAGGCGCGCUGUCAAUAACUAUGACAUCAUAGUCAUGAGCAACAGUUUCAAUGGCCAGUCGGAGCAUCAGGUGUGGAUCGGUGGGCAGUUUACCUUCAUCAAAUUUGCCCAUUAACUCAGUUUCAAUACGGUGCAGAGCCAGACAGGAAGGAAUAAUGUCAAGCCCCGGCCAGCAAGUGGGCUUUAUUGCAUAAGUGACAUCGUCCUUUUCCCCAAGAUAGAAAGGCAGGAGAGUGUCUUCUGCAUGAAUAUGAAGAUCUGGAACCCAUCCGUGAUACAUUGAGGCUGUUCCCUGGGGGUCGUUACCUUCCACGAGCAAAACACGUAGCCCCUUCAGAGCCAAAUCCUGAGCAAGAUGAACAGAAACAGAGGUUUUGUAAACGCCUCCUUUAUGGGCAGCAACCCCGAUCACCGGUGGAAAUACGUCUUCAGCACGUCGCAAUCGCGUUCCAAACACAUCACGCAUAUGAUUAAUUUGUUCAAUUGUAUAACCAACACGUUGCUCAACCCGUCCUCGAAUUUCCAUAUCCGGGUGCGGUAGUCGCCCUGCUUUCUCGGCAUCUCUGAUAGCCUGAGAAGAAACCCCAACUAAAUCCGCUGCUUCACCUAUUCUCCAGCGCCGGGUUAUUUUCCUCGCUUCCGGGCUGUCAUCAUUAAACUGUGCAAUGGCGAUAGCCUUCGUCAUUUCAUGACCAGCGUUUAUGCACUGGUUAAGUGUUUCCAUGAGUUUCAUUCUGAACAUCCUUUAAUCAUUGCUUUGCGUUUUUUUAUUAAAUCUUGCAAUUUACUGCAAAGCAACAACAAAAUCGCAAAGUCAUCAAAAAACCGCAAAGUUGUUUAAAAUAAGAGCAACACUACAAAAGGAGAUAAGAAGAGCACAUACCUCAGUCACUUAUUAUCACUUGCGCUCGCCGCAGCCGUGUAACCGAGCAUAGCGAGCGAACUGGCGAGGAAGCAAAGAAGAACUGUUCUGUCAGAUAGCUCUUACGCUCAGCGCAAGAAGAAAUAUCCACCGUGGGAAAAACUCCAGGUAGAGGAACACACGCGGAUAGCCAAUUCAGAGUAAUAAACUGUGAUAAUCAACCCUCAUCAAUGAUGACGAACUAACCCCCGAUAUCAGGUCACAUGACGAAGGGAAAGAGAAGGAAAUCAACUGUGACAAACUGCCCUCAAAUUUGGCUUCCUUAAAAAUUACAGUUCAAAAAGUAUGAGAAAAUCCAUGCAGGCUGAAGGAAACAGCAAAACUGUGACAAAUUACCCUCAGUAGGUCAGAACAAAUGUGACGAACCACCCUCAAAUCUGUGACAGAUAACCCUCAGACUAUCCUGUCGUCAUGGAAGUGAUAUCGCGGAAGGAAAAUACGAUAUGAGUCGUCUGGCGGCCUUUCUUUUUCUCAAUGUAUGAGAGGCGCAUUGGAGUUCUGCUGUUGAUCUCAUUAACACAGACCUGCAGGAAGCGGCGGCGGAAGUCAGGCAUACGCUGGUAACUUUGAGGCAGCUGGUAACGCUCUAUGAUCCAGUCGAUUUUCAGAGAGACGAUGCCUGAGCCAUCCGGCUUACGAUACUGACACAGGGAUUCGUAUAAACGCAUGGCAUACGGAUUGGUGAUUUCUUUUGUUUCACUAAGCCGAAACUGCGUAAACCGGUUCUGUAACCCGAUAAAGAAGGGAAUGAGAUAUGGGUUGAUAUGAACACUGUAAAGCCCUCUGGAUGGACUGUGCGCACGUUUGAUAAACCAAGGAAAAGAUUCAUAGCCUUUUUCAUCGCCGGCAUCCUCUUCAGGGCGAUAAAAAACCACUUCCUUCCCCGCGAAACUCUUCAAUGCCUGCCGUAUAUCCUUACUGGCUUCCGCAGAGGUCAAUCCGAAUAUUUCAGCAUAUUUAGCAACAUGGAUCUCGCAGAUACCGUCAUGUUCCUGUAGGGUGCCAUCAGAUUUUCUGAUCUGGUCAACGAACAGAUACAGCAUACGUUUUUGAUCCCGGGAGAGACUAUAUGCCGCCUCAGUGAGGUCGUUUGACUGGACGAUUCGCGGGCUAUUUUUACGUUUCUUGUGAUUGAUAACCGCUGUUUCCGCCAUGACAGAUCCAUGUGAAGUGUGACAAGUUUUUAGAUUGUCACACUAAAUAAAAAAGAGUCAAUAAGCAGGGAUAACUUUGUGAAAAAACAGCUUCUUCUGAGGGCAAUUUGUCACAGGGUUAAGGGCAAUUUGUCACAGACAGGACUGUCAUUUGAGGGUGAUUUGUCACACUGAAAGGGCAAUUUGUCACAACACCUUCUAUAGAACCAGCAUGGAUAAAGGCCUACAAGGCGCUCUAAAAAAGAAGAUCUAAAAACUAUAAAAAAAAUAAUUAUAAAAAUAUCCCCGUGGAUAAGUGGAUAACCCCAAGGGAAGUUUUUUCAGGCAUCGUGUGUAAGCAGAAUAUAUAAGUGCUGUUCCCUGGUGCUUCCUCGCUCACUCGACCGGGAGGGUUCGAGAAGGGGGGGCACCCCCCUUCGGCGUGCGCGGUCACGCGCACAGGGCGCAGCCCUGGUUAAAAACAAGGUUUAUAAAUAUUGGUUUAAAAGCAGGUUAAAAGACAGGUUAGCGGUGGCCGAAAAACGGGCGGAAACCCUUGCAAAUGCUGGAUUUUCUGCCUGUGGACAGCCCCUCAAAUGUCAAUAGGUGCGCCCCUCAUCUGUCAGCACUCUGCCCCUCAAGUGUCAAGGAUCGCGCCCCUCAUCUGUCAGUAGUCGCGCCCCUCAAGUGUCAAUACCGCAGGGCACUUAUCCCCAGGCUUGUCCACAUCAUCUGUGGGAAACUCGCGUAAAAUCAGGCGUUUUCGCCGAUUUGCGAGGCUGGCCAGCUCCACGUCGCCGGCCGAAAUCGAGCCUGCCCCUCAUCUGUCAACGCCGCGCCGGGUGAGUCGGCCCCUCAAGUGUCAACGUCCGCCCCUCAUCUGUCAGUGAGGGCCAAGUUUUCCGCGAGGUAUCCACAACGCCGGCGGCCGGCCGCGGUGUCUCGCACACGGCUUCGACGGCGUUUCUGGCGCGUUUGCAGGGCCAUAGACGGCCGCCAGCCCAGCGGCGAGGGCAACCAGCCGAGGGCUUCGCCCUGUCGCUCGACUGCGGCGAGCACUACUGGCUGUAAAAGGACAGACCACAUCAUGGUUCUGUGUUCAUUAGGUUGUUCUGUCCAUUGCUGACAUAAUCCGCUCCACUUCAACGUAACACCGCACGAAGAUUUCUAUUGUUCCUGAAGGCAUAUUCAAAUCGUUUUCGUUACCGCUUGCAGGCAUCAUGACAGAACACUACUUCCUAUAAACGCUACACAGGCUCCUGAGAUUAAUAAUGCGGAUCUCUACGAUAAUGGGAGAUUUUCCCGACUGUUUCGUUCGCUUCUCAGUGGAUAACAGCCAGCUUCUCUGUUUAACAGACAAAAACAGCAUAUCCACUCAGUUCCACAUUUCCAUAUAAAGGCCAAGGCAUUUAUUCUCAGGAUAAUUGUUUCAGCAUCGCAACCGCAUCAGACUCCGGCAUCGCAAACUGCAUCCGGUGCCGGGCAGCCACAUCCAGCGCAAAAACCUUCGUGUAGACUUCCGUUGAACUGAUGGACUUAUGUCCCAUCAGGCUUUGCAGAACUUUCAGCGGUAUACCGGCAUACAGCAUGUGCAUCGCAUAGGAAUGGCGGAACGUAUGUGGUGUGACCGGAACAGAGAACGUCACACCGUCAGCAGCAGCGGCGGCAACCGCCUCCCCAAUCCAGGUCAUGACCGUUCUGUCCGUCACUUCCCAGAUCCGCGCUUUCUCUGUCCUUCCUGUGCGACGGUUACGCCGCUCCAUGAGCUUAUCGGGUCCACUCGCGAACGCAGAAAGGCCCACCCGAAGGUGAGCCAGUGUGAUUACAUUUGCGGCCUAACUGUGGCCAGUCCAGUUACGCUGGAGUCAGUAGUAUUUAGGUGACACUAUAGAAGCGGCCGCCUAUCCCCUGUGUGCCUUGGCAGUCUCAGAAUGAUACGGCGACCACCGAGAUCUACACUCUUUCCCUACACGACGCUCUUCCGAUCUCACUAACCACUCAAUGAAAGAACUCUUAAGCGUCUCAAUUUGAACAGCGCCUUAUGUAAUACAUUGUUACUCAAGGAGCAAUAUGCGGGACCAGGUGAAGAGUAAGGUUGCAAUGCAAUGAAAGUUCGCAGACGCUUCAGUUUACCCAGGUCUUUGAACCUCUGCAUCACCUCGUAUGUACGACGAGUGAAUGACAUAUGGCGAGUCUUUUCAGGAUCUGGAAAGACCUUGUUAUUUUCCAGCUUAUCAUUUAAAGUGACACACGUUUCUCCAGCAAUAGAUUGAGCCAUAUCACUGAUGAGAUGAUGCAUCAGAUAACGAUGUUCAUUGCUGCUUGAUCGCUGGAAAAACGAUCUUGAUAAUAAUAGCUUAAAACAAGAAUAGAAGUCUUCUAUCGGCUUCUUUCCUCCUGCAUCUGGCAGAAAUCCUUGGGCCAUCCAUAACAACACUAAUUCAUCCAUAUAGAAUUCAUAUUCUUUUGGAAGUAUAGAACAGAAAACAUACAAUUGUUUCAAGUGUGAAGGAAGAUGAUGGUAGCUCAACCUCAAGGCUGGAACUAUGCCGCCCUGGUGUUCUGAUAUAUCCCACAUUUUGCUAUUAAGUACAUUUUCCCAUUCAUCAACAUAAGGUUUAGUGCGCAAGAGGCCCCCCAGUGUUUCAACAGCCAAUGGCAGUCCUCCGCACCUUUGAACUAUUUUCUGGCCGAUCUCCUGCAGGUCUGGCAGAUCACUGAAAUUGGACCUUCCCAGGGCAUGCUUUGCAAACAAUGACAGGCUAUCCUCAAAUGACAGUUCGUUCACAAGGUAACAUGGAAGAGCACUCAUCAUUAAUGCAACAUCUUGAUUACAAGUUGUGAGGAUGAUUCUACUCCCAGGGGAUGUCACUUGGAAAGGACGGCGAAGGACAGUCCAGCCAUAUUAGUUCUCAUUCCAAACAUCAUCUAAAACAAUAAGAAACUUCUUCCCCGCCAAUUUCUCUCUCAGCCUAAGUUGAAGCAGAUUCAAAUCCUUCGCAUCGUAACUCCCCGAAACUGCCUCAAGAAUAGUUCUCGUAACCCUAACAACAUCAAAAUCCUCAGAAACACAGCACCAAACUUUGAAAUCGAAAAACUUAUCUACUUUCUCAUCAUUGUAGACAAGCUGAGCAAGGGUGGUCUUACCCACACCACCCAUCCCUACAAUAGGAAUCACACCAAUCCCGUACUCAUCACACCCCUUAUCACUAAAAAGCAACUUCAAGAUUUCCUCUUUAUCAUUAUCCCUACCAGAAACAUAAGAAAGAUCCACUAAAGAAGUACUGGGCAAUCUUUUCCUCUUCAACACCCC
This 10432-nucleotide long non-coding RNA is filed under the name Populus tremula. RNAcentral's name for it is "long non-coding RNA (PTRE_LNC000193)". Lineage: Eukaryota; Viridiplantae; Streptophyta; Magnoliopsida; Malpighiales; Salicaceae. The record is from RNAcentral.